UACGUAGGGCGCGAGCGUUGUCCGGAAUUAUUGGGCGUAAAGAGCUCGUAGGCGGCCUGUUGCGUCCGCUGUGAAAUCCCAGGGCUCACCCCUGGGCGUGCAGUGGAUACGGGCAGGCUGGAGGCAGGCAGGGGAGAACGGAAUUCCCGGUGUAGCGGUGAAAUGUGUAGAUAUAUGGAAGAACAUCAAUAACGGCGAAGGCAGUUAACUAUUCUGUUACUGACGUUGAGGCACGAAAGCGUGGGGAGCAAAAAGG
RNAcentral lists this ribosomal RNA (256 nucleotides) under uncultured bacterium. RNAcentral's name for it is "partial 16S ribosomal RNA". It matches the Rfam family "Bacterial small subunit ribosomal RNA", at positions 524 to 776 of the family's 1533-position model. The record is from RNAcentral.